AGGGCCAGGAGCUUGGAUUCCCUGGCGUGUGGUGGCAAGGGGAAAGUGGCACUGAGUUUGAAGUUUCAGAUUAAUACGGGUGAGAGACAUGCUGGCUAUGUGAACAUGAUUGGAGAGGGUGUCAUUGCCUGGCAUAUUGCAGUGCACAGAAGGGGCCCGUGAGCCGCCUGAUAACCUCACGAGUAGCUUCUAUGUAUGUGUCAUCCUGAGGGUGAUGGGUGGUGGUGGUCGGUUUACAGAAAUAAGUGGACUAGCAUGCAGCACAGUUCUACUUUGCAUUGUGAUGAAGGCCCUCAGUGCACCAUUACUUCCUAUAACCCAAACCCUAUCACAGCCUCUAUUUCGUACAUUGUUCAUGCACCCUUCAAGUUUCUGAGGAUGGUGAGGGGGAAGGGGACAGAGGACUGUCACACAGGCCCCUCCUUAAGGUCAUGAAACACACCUCCUCUCUGGCACCCCUUCCCCCCUUUCCUUCCCGCUGCUGCUGCUGCUGCUGUUGAGAUUCCGCCGAUAUCCGGCUCUCCUCACCUGGAGUUGGGCUCUCAACUGUAUGACUCCGAAUGGCUCGCAUGGACGCUGCUAUCUGGAUGCAGGUCUUCUUGACCCUGCUCCUCUGCCCUACCCGCACCCGCACCCCACACCUCGGACCCCCGUGACGUGUAGGCGGUUGAACCCCCUUGUUGCCCUUGCCUCAUCAUCAUCAUCAUCACCAUCAUCACCGUCAUCAGCAUCACCAGCAUCACCAGCUUCACCAGCAUCAGCAUCACCAUCACCAGCAUCAUCACCAGCAUCAUUACCAUUACCAUUACCAGCAGCAGCAGCAUCACUAUCACCAGCAUCACCAGCAUCACCAGCAUCACCACCACCAGCAUCACUAUCACCAGCAUCACCAUCACCAGCAUCACCAUCACCAGCAUCACCAUCACCAGCAUCACCAUCACCAGCAUCAUCACCAGCAUCAUUACCAUUACCAUCACCAGCAUCAUCACCAUCACCAGCAUCAUCAUCAUUACCAUCACCAUCAUCACCAUUCAUCGUCACCAGCAUCGUCGUCGUCAUUGUCCUGUGACGACCUCCCACCCCCCACCCUCCUCAGACUGGCACUUGAGGUCCAGUCCUGGUAUCGGCAGCAGCUGGAGGCCCGACCCGUCAGGUUCAUGGAGAUAGUGGCAAUGAAGGGUAGGGCCGCGUGUGUAUGUAUGUAUGACUUAGAUUACACUGUGGGCUGCGAGAGCCGCGGGCCAAAGCCGAAACACAACGCAAGGGUCAGGAGCAC
RNAcentral lists this long non-coding RNA (1276 nucleotides) under Volvox carteri. RNAcentral describes it as "long non-coding RNA (VCAR_LNC000702)". The record is from RNAcentral. Lineage: Eukaryota; Viridiplantae; Chlorophyta; Chlorophyceae; Chlamydomonadales; Volvocaceae.